Molecule: ribosomal RNA, 253 nt
Filed under: uncultured bacterium
Lineage: Bacteria
Description: partial 16S ribosomal RNA
Rfam family: Bacterial small subunit ribosomal RNA
Source: RNAcentral
CACGUAGGGACCAAGCGUUGUUCGGAUUUACUGGGCGUAAAGGGCGCGUAGGCGGUUUGUCAAGUCAGUUGUGAAAUCUCCGAGCUUAACUCGGAACGGUCAACUGAUACUGUCAAACUAGAGUACAGAAGGGGCAAUCGGAAUUCUUGGUGUAGCGGUGAAAUGCGUAGAUAUCAAGAGGAACACCUGAGGUGAAGACGGGUUGCUGGGCUGAUACUGACGCUGAGGCGCGAAAGCUAGGGUAGCAAACGGG